GAUGAACGCUGGCGGCGUGCCUAAUACAUGCAAGUCGAGCGAACGGACGAGAAGCUUGCUUCUCUGAUGUUAGCGGCGGACGGGUGAGUAACACGUGGAUAACCUCCCUAUAAUACUGGGAUAACUUCGGGAAACCGGAGCUAAUACCGUAUGAUAUUUUGAACCGCAUGGUUCAAAAGUGAAAGACGGUCUUUCUGUCACUUAUAGAUGGAUCCGCGCUGCAUUAGCUAGUUGGUAAGGUAACGGCUUACCAAGGCAACGAUGCAUAGCCGACCUGAGAGGGUGAUCGGCCACACUGGAACUGAGACACGGUCCAGACUCCUACGGGAGGCAGCAGUAGGGAAUCUUCCGCAAUGGGCGAAAGCCUGACGGAGCAACGCCGCGUGAGUGAUGAAGGUCUUCGGAUCGUAAAACUCUGUUAUUAGGGAAGAACAUAUGUGUAAGUAACUGUGCACAUCUUGACGGUACCUAAUCAGAAAGCCACGGCUAACUACGUG
RNAcentral lists this ribosomal RNA (497 nucleotides) under uncultured bacterium. RNAcentral describes it as "partial 16S ribosomal RNA". It matches the Rfam family "Bacterial small subunit ribosomal RNA", at positions 28 to 507 of the family's 1533-position model. The record is from RNAcentral.